This 301-nucleotide ribosomal RNA is filed under the name uncultured bacterium. RNAcentral describes it as "partial 16S ribosomal RNA". It matches the Rfam family "Bacterial small subunit ribosomal RNA", at positions 509 to 809 of the family's 1533-position model. The record is from RNAcentral.
CAGUCGCCGCGGGAAUACGUAGGGUGCAAGCGUUAUCCGGAAUUAUUGGGCGUAAAGAGCUCGUAGGCGGUUCGUCGCGUCUGCUGUGAAAACUGGAGGCUCAACCUCCAGCCUGCAGUGGGUACGGGCAGACUAGAGUGCGGUAGGGGAGAUUGGAAUUCCUGGUGUAGCGGUGGAAUGCGCAGAUAUCAGGAGGAACACCGAUGGCGAAGGCAGAUCUCUGGGCCGUAACUGACGCUGAGGAGCGAAAGCAUGGGGAGCGAACAGGAUUAGAUACCCGCGUAGUCCCUGUCUCUUAUAA